ACCAAUCAUUCAUAGGGAUGUCAAGUCUACCAACAUACUCUUGGAUGAUAGUUACACUGCCAAAGUAUCCGAUUUUGGAGCUUCGAGAUUGGUUCCACUAGACCAAGCCGGGAUAUCAACGGUGGUUCAAGGGACCCUCGGAUACCUGGACCCUGAAUACUUGCAGACAAGUCAGCUGACAGAGAAAAGUGAUGUUUAUAGCUUUGGGGUAGUCCUUCUAGAGCUACUGACCGGACAAAAAGCACUUUGUUUUGAAAGGUUAGAGGAGGACAGAAAUCUUGCAAUGUAUUUCAUUUCAGCUUUGAAAGAAGAUCGCUUGGUGCAAAUUCUUGAGAAGUGCGUAGUGGAUGAAGCAAAGAUAGAGAUGGUUGAGGAAAUUGGUAGCCUUGCAAGGAGGUGCUUAAGAGUGAAAGGAGAAGAAAGGCCCACAAUGAAGGAAGUCGCAAUGGAGUUGGAGGGGUUGAGAAUGAUGCUGGAGCAUCAUCCAUGGGUAAACAACGAUGAGUCGAGGUUAGAAGAGACUGAGUAUUUGCUCGGUGAACCAUCGUUGAAAAUUGGUUCUAAUAGCGGUAUGAAUAAUGUUACAUAUGAUAGCAUCACAGAUCAUAUAAUUUUACAAGUUGGUCAUGGAAGAUAAUAGUUUCAAUCUUUCACCUCAGGAUAUUUAUUUUCUAAACUUACAAAUCUUUUUGUUUGUAUUUAAAAAAAAUAUACAUUGUAAAUUUUCUAAUUUUAUAUCUUCUUUUUUUUUCCAAAGUCAUCCAACGUUAUGUCAUUGCUAUCAAAUUAUAUUACCAUUUUAAAUAUUUUUAUAGAAAUAUAAUUAAAUUAGUCGCCGUUAUAUUACAUCAAUAUUAAAUUUAAAUUCAAAAUAUAAAUAAAUGUAAUAAAACUUUAAAACAUAAUAUCAAUAAAAAAUAAAUAUGCAAUCAUUCUGUAUUUUAAUUUUUCUAUAUUUACUUACACUCGAAUUGUUUAAAAUAUGAAUAUUAUAAUAUUUUACUAUAAAAUCAUUAAUUAAUUUGAUGUAAUAAUUUUAAAUAUAUAUAAUUGUUAAUUUAAUUUUUUAAAUUAUAAAUUUUAAUAUAAAUAUAUAAUUUCAAUUGGAUAUUAUAAAGAUUAUGAUAUUUAUAUAAAUACAUAUAUAUUUUUACUUUGUUAACAAUUAGUCAAAAAAUUGACAAUUGUAAUAAUAAAAUUUACAAAUCUAUUUUAUUAUCAAUUUUUAAUAUUUUUAUGUUUUAUCAUUUAUUAUUUUAUGCAUAAUAUUUUUAUCUUGUAUUGUAAAUUAUUUAUUACUACUUUUAUGUUUAUGCUAUUAAUUGAUUAUAAAAUAUUAUUACUUAUAUAAGUUGAAAUUUAAUUAUAAGUUGAUAAAAUUUUAAUUUAAAACAUGCAAAUUAAUGAAUUAAUCAAUGAUUUCACUUUUUUUGGUAGUUCAAUAAUAAAUUAAAAAGCAGCUCUAAACAUAACACUACCUGCCAUAUCGGCUUUAACAAACUGGAGCAUAAAGCUCGACAUAGACAACAUAGCCUUUAGAAGAGUCUCUUACAAAGCAAACUAGGAGUGCUGCCCUUUCUAGCCAGUACAUCAAGGCAACUAUUUCCCUCCCUGAAAUUAUAAAGCAAUCAACUAUUCUGGAAGGUCUCCAAUAAAGUCUUGCAAACAUUCACCAAGGUGUUGCAAAGCAAAUUUGAACAAGAUUGAUUCUUAAUAAUAACUGUAGUAGCAUCAACUUCCACAAUAAUAUCAACAAUGUUCAAAUUUUUAGCAACAGUGUUUGAAGAAUAGUUGAGAAAUCUAUGACAACCAGACACCCAUCUUCCUUGGAAAUCUCGAAUUAGAGCUCCACGCCAGCUCCUGCUGAACCAGGAUUUCCUAUCGAAAAACCGUCACAAUUAAGUUUGAACCACCCAAUCUCUUGUCCAUUUCACUUUGAUGAAUCUUGGCAUAUUUGUAUCCUUGAUCUUAUUGGAGAUGGAAAAGAUCUCAGUUGCAUUAGCAAGAGCAGUUGGGAUAAUCAAAUCAGGAGUGUACUGUUUUCCAAAGACUUAAUCAUUCCAACCAACUAAAUAUUUCUCAAUAUAGAUUUUUUUUUUUUUGCCUGGUGUAAAAACAUUUUGCUAAAGAGUUCACUUCAAUCCGGUCUUGAAAAGGAAGGUUGAAGGUAGAAAGAAGUUGGGGUGAAAUUCCCAAUCUUGACCAGAUUAAUUUCAAAAACAACUUGAGAGUCUCAAAGGAUAUAUAUGGUUAAGUGUGUCUGUAGUCUGUACCCGUUGCGUAAAAGGGCCAACAAUCCUGCAAGUUUAAGGAAAAAAACUAUGGGAAGGAUGAGGUGAGCGACCUCCCAUACGAAAAAGGUGAUUUGGGGGAUAAGAUUGAUUUUCCAUAUUGAUAACUUGUUUUAGUAUAGUUUUUUUUUAUAGUGUUUUAGGAGGUUAUUUUAGCAAUUACUUUAGUUUUUAGUGCAUUUUAUAGUUUUUUUAUAUUAAUUAUUUUUUAUUUGAUUUUCAUUUUUAGAUCUAGUUGGAUUUAUUUAUUAUUUUUUCUCUAUAUUAUAGGUUUUGAAUGAAGAACAAAAUGUUUGGAGUAUAGAAUGAAAAAAUUGUGAAAAAAAGUCUUCCGCUCCACCAAAUAUCGAUGUGGUGGAGCACAAUCUUCACUUCAGAAUUUUAAAACAUCAAGCAAUUUGCUCCACUGCACUUCUGUGUUUGGAUGAGCAAAACGAUUAAAACUCUAAAAAUAAGGGGUAACGUGAUUUAAGAGAAAAGAGGGGGAAAAGCGUAAAAGAAAUAAACUUUGAGGCUAAGAGGAGAAGAAAAAGAGAUUCGGAGCACUAAACACUAAUUCAAUAAUUAUUUUUCUCUCUAAAUUAUUUCUUUUUACUUUAUCUUAAUGCAAGUUUGUUAUGAACUUUUUCUUGUAAUGCUUUCUCAAAUCAACAUGAAUUAAAUUAUAUUUUCUUGAAACAAUAAUGAAUCUGAUUUGUAGUUAAUUAAUUUAUUUUCUCUUCAAUUAUUUCGAUCCUUGUUAAUUAUUUAUUCAACCCCAUGCAUUUUUAAUCUACUUGUCUGGCCAUAAAGUUGUAUUAAUUUGAUAAUCUUGAUUUGUCUUGGAAGAGAAAAUUAAUGUUUAGAUCUAGAUUGAACAGAUUAGGAUUAAAUGUAGUAGCAUUGACGAACUAGUUAAUUUGAGGCUAAAAUAAGAAAAUACCCGAUGCCCUAAUCAACCCAAUAUGUUUGAUCAUAGUGAUUUCACCCAACUUGCUUAGCAUAGGAAUAUAGCUAGCAGAGAAGGGGAAUUAGCUUAGCUAGAUACUGGAAGGGUCUAGUUAAUGUCAUUGAAUCAUGUGUUAGUAAUUAAAUAGAUUCAACAAUUGACUGAGAGAUAAUUUAUUAAUGGAAUUAAGUGAAUUUAGAGCUCCAAAAUCUUAAAAUUGACAGAAAAACUUAGUAAUUUUCAUUGUUUUAGUUUAAUAAAAAUCUCUUUAAUUUGUUUAGUUUAAUUUUAGCAGUAAUUAUAAUUUAUUUUUCUUGAUCCAGAUUUAAUAAAAUUGAAUAGUUGGUACUUAGCAGUUUAAAAUUUAAGCUUCGUGGGACGGUAUUUUUUUUAUUACUUAAUUACUUAAUUCCACAUGUGCAUUUGUGUAACGGAAUUUCAGACAUUACAUAUCCAGCUCCAGUCAUUACUGAAUUUUAUGUUGUUGUUUCCUUUAUACCAAGGGCCAAUAGCUAUGCAGAUUCCAAAGAGCUAGAAGAUCCCGGUAGAAGUCAAAUUCAAUCCAAGAAUAUCCUUGCCUCUGCGAAAAGUGGAAGUUGAGAUAGCAUUUAGAACACUUGGAGAGGUGAGUUUUUCUUCAUUGAAUUUAAAGGGUUAGCAAUGAAUGAUCGAAGGGAAUUGAGCCCGACCAAUUUUCGUUCCAAAGAUUAACAGAGGUACCAUCCUUAGACGAUCCAUUUGAAGCAUCCCCAAAGUAACCUUGAAUGCUUUUGAGAGCAUUCCAGGUGAUAGAGGGCUGUGAGGAAUGUGAAAGUUCUUGAAGAUACUUUAAUUUUAGGAUUUUAGCCCAAAAAGAUUUAGAGUUGUGUAAUAAUCUCUAGCAUAAUUUGAGAAGUUGGGCUUUGUUUUGAGCUCUCAUACGUGAAAUCUUUAAUUACUCUAACUUUUUAAGUUUUGUGACAGUCAACCGAUUGAUUCUAUAUGAUUUAAACAAAAAAUUGUGGUUGAUUUGAUUGAUUGAAGAAUAGAUACUACUAGGAAGCUUUAAUAGUACGAAGUAUUUUUAAAUUUUAAAAAACAAAAAAUAUUUUUUAAAAAAUAAAUUAGAAAAAAAUAGAAAGUAUUUAAUAAAUCAAACGAAGCCUAAGAGUUGAAAUUUUAAAUGAUGAACUCUUAAUGUUAAAUUAGGGAUAAGUCACUAACUAGUGUUGAGUGUGAACUUUCAAGUAGAGAAUGCAUAUUUGAAUAUUGGAGACAAUAUUGUAAGGAUGGGCAGCCACAAGCUUCGAAAAUGAAUUACAAAAUGAAUAUGGAAUAUGCAAAAAAAUUUUGAUGUCGUUUUUAGCUUGUAAGUGGAUUAGAUGUACAUGCAAAAAGAGAAAAGGAAGCUAAUUGUGAAGUGUUGUGCAAUAGUUGCUCACCUCAUCUCAUCCCAUAAUCAUGUGAUCAGAAAUUUAAUCCUUACUCAUAAGAGUUUAACCUUUGAAAUAUCCUCUAAUGCUUAAAUAAGUGAACGUGAGAAAGGGGAGGAAGAUAUGAAUAUGAAACAAAAGGUCAACAGACCUAGCUCUAUGAUUACCAUGCAUAUUUAUAGACUUCUUUCUCUCUGCCUUGGGUUGAUUUAGCAGGUGCUCAAAUCUUCAUUUUCAAAUUAAACGAGUUAGAAAAACCAAGUUACAUAAAUUGAAAUUUAGGUACUAAAUUUUAAAAGUUUGACAGGUAUUAGAAUUGGAGUAUAAUUAUACGUUAUAUUUAUUGAAGACUAUGCUGAAACUUCUGGGGAGGUGGUUGCAUGGGAAAUUUGCAAUCAACAACUCUAAUAAACUGUUUGGGUGUUGAAUAUGGAAUUAGUCUAUCCAAUUGUGUUACUUUAUGAAUGCCAGAGAAAUGCCAGAGAAAUUUUCCACGCCCUUGCCUUCAAGAGCACAAAGAGAAAUGAAGGAAGCCACGAUUAGUUUUACAUUAAAUUGUACCCACAUAAGGUCAGAGUUGUGCACUCUCUCAUGUUCUAUUGAUCCCUUGUGGGUAAACUUGAUUUGGGGAAGAUUACUUUUCAAGAACGUAAUUGAAAGAAAUUAUAGGAUAAACGAGUUUUUUUUAGUUUAUUAGCUUUUAACUCCAUUUUACGAAUAAUCAACAGAAGAGAAAGGAAAGGGUCUACGCUGCAUUAAAGAUGAUUAAUAAGGAAAGAGUCUAUGCUGGCCUAACUCAUAAACAUGAUUGGUGUUUCCCAUUUAAACCAACUUUGAAUCUUUAAAUAAGCAUUGCUAUAAAUAUGAAACCAAUAUUUUUAUUCAAGCAAUAGCCGAGGAAAACACCAGAGGUCAUGGGUGUGGAUCGUAUGUGUAAGGAGUUUGCUCUGCUUUCACUUAAGUUAACAAUUAUAGCAACCUGGGUAGCAGCGCAACCAAAACCGGAGUGCCAAAGCAACUGCGGGGAUAUCAGCAUCCAUUAUAGGGAACAGGCAAUGGGUGCAACAUCAGCAGCAACUUUUUCAUUCGUUGCGACACCACUUCCAACCCCCCAAAAGCAUUCUUAAGUUCCACUGAUAUUGAAGUUCUCCACAUCUCUCUAGAUGGUUAUUUGCGCAUCCAACAAACAGUAGGUUUUGACUGUUAUAAUUCAUUAGGACGCAGUUCAUAUGGCGAGUCAUAUUCACUUUCAAACUUCCCCAUAUCUAAUACCAGAAACAAGUUCACAGCCAUUGGUUGUGAUACCUAUGCUCUCAUUGAGGGUACCUUGGGACAUACGUAUUCAACCGGGUGUGUAACAUUCUGAAGUGACGUGGAGGAUGGGAUAAAUGGGCCUUGCAGCUAUCCCUAAAGGAGUGAGGAAUUAUGUCUUAAAUUUUGAUACCCGUCGGAAUCAUUCCAGUGUAUUGGACUUCAAUCCUUGUAGUUAUGGAUUUGUUGUGGAAGAUGGAGCCUAUAAUUUCUCUGUUUCAGAUCUUUCCAAUGUAAUUUCAACACAACGAAAUUCCCAAUCAUUCUUGAUUGGACAAUUGGGAACCAAAAUUGCACUGAAGCUAAAUUGGAUCCAAAAAACUAUGCUUGCAAGGAAAAUAGUGUUUGUAUAGAUCCAGAAAAUUAUAAUUGCAAGGAAAAUACUAGUUGUAUAAACCCUGGAUAUUUGUGCAAGUGUCUUGAUGGCUUUCAGGGUAACCCUUACCUCUCCUAUGGCUGCCAAGGUAAAGAUAUCAACUUCUUUUUCAUUCCAGAUUCAUUUUGAUGAAUACUUUUAAUUUUGUUCCCAAUAUAUUUUUUUCUGCUUUAAAAUGUUUGAAAAUUUGUAGAUAUUAAUAAAUGCAAGACACUGAAGCCUUGCAAUGAAACUGCAACAUGUGAUAACGUAGCUGGAAGUUAUUAUUGUUCAUGUCCUGAGGGAUUUGAGGGGGAUGGCCAGAAAAAUGGAAAAGGGUGCAGUCCUAAAGUCAAAUCACACCAGAGUUUUCCCACUCUUCUUGUUGCAUUAGGUUGGUUGGUAUAAAAUGUUGAUUUCUUUUUAUUUGGUAAAUACUUUGUGCAAACAUAUUAAUACUGAGAUGAAACUAAUCCAAAUUUAAACCGAUUUAAUUGGUCUAAAUAGUUUUCAUAUUCUGAUUAAUACAUCAUUGUUAAUGUUGGAUGGAAUUAAUCCUUUAAUUUGUUUUGGAUUAAAAUCCAUCCAACAUCAUUAUUAAUUUCUCAUGGAAAAGAACUAUAUGAAAAUUAAUAUUGUGAUGUAUGUUUACAAAACAUAUCAGACCCAGGUUUACAAAGUUUAGGCAAACAUUAAUGAGAUAUGGAUAUUAAAGCUUAUCAGUUUUAAUCCAUACAAAGUUCAAUUGAAACUAUAAAAAUGGAGCUUCUUUUUUUUUUUUUUUAAAUUACAAUUUCUAGUCUCAUAUUGUUACAGGUAUAGGCAUUUUAUUUUCGCUCUUAUGCUCCCCAAGGGUGUAUUUGGGGCUGAGGCAGAGAAAGCUCAACAAAAUGAAACAAGAAUACUUUUAGCAAAAUGGUGGGAUUUUGUUGCGGGAACACCUUUCACGAUAUAAAGAAUACGGUGAGACAGCUAAACUCUUUACAGCCGAACUCAAGAAAGCGACAAACAACUACCAUGAAAGUAGAAUCCUUGGAGGAGGAAGUCAAGGUACUGUUUACAAAGGAUUGUUGCCUGAUGGUGGCAGUGUUGCCACCAAAAAGUCCAUCAUUGGAGAUCAAAGCCAAGUUCAACAAUUCGUUAAUUAUUGUGUUAUCCCAAAUCAACCACAGAAAUGUGGUGAAAUUGUUGGGAUGUUGUUUGGAGACACAAGUCCCUUUGCUAGUCUAUGAAUAUGUAAGCAAUGGAAGCGUCUUCGAUCACUUACACAAUGCCGAUCAUGAGUCUUUCAUAUCAUGGGAAGCUCGUUUGAAAAUAGCCACAGAAGCAGCAGAAGCCCUUUCCUAUUUGCACUCUGCUGCAUCUCCGCCUAUUAUUCAUCGUGAUGUCAAGUUAGCCAACAUACUUUUAGAUGAGAACUACACUGCUAAAGUAUCUGAUUUUGGUGCUUCGAGAUUGGUCCCUUCAAAUAAAGAACAAAUCACAACGCUCGUGCGGGGAACUCUGGGCUAUUUGGACCCAGAAUAUUUUCAAACAAGUCAGUUGACUGAAAAGAGUGAUGUUUAUAGUUUUGGAGUUGUUCUCAUAGAAUUACUAACAGGUUUGAAAGCAAUUUCUUUCGAAAGACCCGAACAUGAGAGGAAUUUGACUCUCUACUUUAUUGCUGUUAUGAAAGAGGAACGCUUGCUAGAUAUUACUGAUGGACAAGUGCUGCAUGAUAACAACAUUGAACAACUUAAGAAGUGGCAACUUUAGCUAGGAGAUGUGUGAGAGUGAAGGGAGAGGAAAGGCCAACUAUGAAGGAAGUGCGUCUGAGUUAGAAGCAUUGCGAGCAUGGAGAAAGCUCAAGGAGGAAGAGGCUGAAUACUUGCUCGAUGACUUUUAUGACACUAUUGUAUAUAAUAUAUAGAUACUAUGGUGAAUGUACCUAAGAACUAGAGGUGAUCAUGGGUUGGGCUACUCGGCCCGGUCCGAUGAUCCGUCCAAAAAAUGAGAGGGUUUGGGUAAAAAUAUAGACCCGAAAUAUGGGUUUGGGCAAAAAAACGAGGCCUGUUUAGAAAACGGGCUGGGCCUCGGGUAAAAUAUUUUUGGCUUGGGCCCGGCCCGAAUUAUAUAUUAAAUAUAUAUAUUUUUAUUUUUAAUCAAAUAUAUUUUUAUUUUUAAUCAAAUAUAUUUUUUGUUUUUAAUUUAGAUUAUAUUUUGUAGGUUUUUGAUGAUAUUUUGGUGUUGUAAAAUUUAAUAUGGGCCGGGUCAAGCUCGGGCUUAGCAUUUUUUUGGGCCGGGCUUGGAUAAAUUUUUAAGCUCAUAUUUUGGGCCAGGUUGGGCCUAGAAAACGGGCCUAAAAUUUUGCCGGCCCGGCCUAGCCCAUGAUCACCUCUACUAAAAACUAUAGGCACAUAAUUAAAAUAAUCCCAAAUCAAUUUAGUACUAUAUUAUAAAAAAAUCAAAUAAAAUCAAAUUAGAAUAAAGUUAACAUUUAUCAUUUAAAAACAACAUUUACUAUUUAGCAGAGGUAACAUUUUUAAAGUUUUUAUGGUUCCCUAAAUGAAAUCUUUUGUUUGAAAUUGAACUGCAAUUAAAAAAAUAUUUUUCAAAAUAUUUUUUAUACGGUAAAUGUUAACUCUAUUACAACUUGAACUUAUAUUAUUCUUUUUAAUAAUAUAUAGACUAAAUUGAUCCAUUGAAUCCCUAUAAUUUAAAACCUCCUAUAUACUUUAACUUAGAUACUAUAUAUUAUAUAUUAUAUAAAGUAUUUUCAAAAUAAUAUAUACUUGUAAUAUAUAUACAACAAUGAUAUAGGAAAAAAAUGUAAUAUAAAAUUGAAGAGAGGUGUCUACAUUUAAAUCACACAACUAGUCAAAAAUCAUUCGGUGGUGUCAGUAUAUAGGUAUUUUUCAGUACUCUAUAUAUAGACACCAAAAUCAAAAGUAAGUUCAUUAAGUCCGAGUUAAUGUUUGUUCGUUUAGUGAAUAUGUCUAUACAUCUAUUUUAAUUUGUUAAAAUAAUUUGAGUGUAGACACAGUAUUCUAAUAUGAGAUAAAAGUAUUGUGUCUUGAAAUUAACAAUUAUUAAUUGUUUUACAAAUAAAUUAUUCUUUAAAAAUUUAUAUGAAAUACAUUUUUUAUAAUUUUAGGUAGAGCUAAUCUUUUAUGACUUGACAUGAAUUAACAAGAUUAAAAAUCAAAUCAUAUUUGAAAUUAAUAGUAAAACGUAUAGUACUCUUAAAAAAAUUUUGAGUUUGAACUUUUAAAAUGACAUCGUUGAAAGAAUAAUCACAAAUCUAAAACAAUUAAUCUUCAGAUAUCAUAAAACUAAUUGAAGAACAUAAUAUUCUAAAAAAUAAUAAAAAAUUAAAUAUAGUUUAUCCAAACUAGCACUCGUUAAAGACAGUUACUUAUACAAAGAAAAUCAGAUAAGAAUGUUAAUGAUUAAUUCGAUAUCAAAUCAAAUGUGAAAGACUACGUGUUAGACUCAUUUGACUGAUUAAAUUAAUACAACUUAAAAUGGUUUUAGAUAGUUGAGAUGAGAGAGGUAAAUUAGAGUUUGAAGAUGAAAUGGUAGGAUAUAAGGUGGGAUUGAUAAUAAGUGAUUGAUUCAUUUAUUGAUACUCCAAGUGGAGGUUUUCAUUAAAGGGAUUAAAAAGAUUAGAAUGGAGGGCAGAGAUUAAAUCCAAAAACAUCAAAUGGUACAUGAAGCUUCCAUGGAAAUUUCCCCUGAUUUUUUAAUGGAUUUAUAUCUAAUGUAUACUAUAAUCGUUACUUUGGACAUGUGAAGACUUCACUUGGAGUCCAAAAAAACAAACUAAAACCACCAAGACUUGGACUCCACUCCACUACCUCUCUUCUUCUUCUUUUAUAAUAAAAAAGUAUACUAUUGAAUUUUAAGAAAUCUUUCUCUCUUUAUUUUUAGAUUUUAAAAAUAAAAAUCUAAUUAAUUUUUUUUAAAUUUAAUACAAAAACUUUAAUCGCGUUAUCUAUUGGAUAUGAUUUUUUAAAUUUUAAAAAGUAGACAAAUUAAAUUCUUAAAAAUUAAAGUUUGAGACUAAAUUUCAAACGUACUAAAAAUAUAAGGUCUUAUAGCAUAUUUUAACCUUUUAAAAUUUAUACCAAAUCCUUAACUUUUUUUUUUGUUAAUUUAUAAACAAUUUUGGUUUUUCUUAUUUAAAAUGAAACAAAUGACUAAAUGCAUAUAAUUAUAAUAAAAUGCAAAUACUUAUUUAAAUUCAUUUUUAAUUUUAUGGAUUAAUUAUAAAAGUUAUUUUAAUUAAAUUUUUUAUUUUUAAAGUUCUUUAAAAUAAUUAUUUUCAAAAUUAUUCAUAAUGUGAUAAAAAAUAUUACUUUUAUUUUAAAAAACUAUAUAAUAAGAAAAAUAAUAUAAUGUAUCAUUUUAUUUUCUUUUUACCACUUUCUAAAUAUCAUAUUUUCCUGUUAAAUGUGUAUUAACCUGGUUUGUAUUAGUAUUGUUGUCAAUAUAGGAGGAUAUGAGUUUAAGUGUAUUAAAGUGCAUUUAUCUUUCUAUUUAAGGGUUAAAAAAAUAUGAAUAAUUCUAAAUAUUGUAUCAAUAUAUAUAACACCUUUCUCCGAAGGUAUGAUAAUGCAUAACUUAAAAUUUAAAUAUAACCUUGGGUUUUGAGUAUUUGAAUAGUAUUUUCUAAUUUAUUGAACCUUAAAAUUUAAAAUAAUUGAAUGAUUAUAUGUAUAUAUAUAUUAGAAACUCUAUCACACGCAAAAACUAUGUAUUUAGAAUAUAAAUUUGUAUUUUAAAAUAAUAUACAAUAAAUAAUUAAAAGUAUGAUUUGAAACUAAUUAAUAAUAACACAUGAAAUAUGUUCAAUGUUAAAAAAAAGAUUAAAUUGUAAGUAAAACGAUUUUAAACAUAUAAAUACAACAUAGUGUUGUCGUGAUAUUGUUAUCAAUUCUAAGUUGAUGUCGAGUUAAUUUCUGACACCAUCUUAACAAAAAAUUUAAAUUAAAAUAUAUAAAAUACAUCAAAAUAAAGUUUUGGUUGAGUCAUCAAUUUAAGACUUUACCAAUUCAAUUAGUACGAAUUCAAAUUCCACAAUAUGCAUAUUUUUAUUUUUAUUGAUUUUUGUUAAAAUAAAAAAGACUAAAGUAUAUUUUGAUCAUUUCCCUCAAUGAGUUGAUACUCGAUUGAUUCAUGACAUCUACCCAGUUAGGAGCUUAAAUAAUAUUAUAGAUAUAAUGAUAAUAAAUUUUAUAAUUAAAAUAAAAUUAUAUAAAACAUAAUAAAUGAGACUUUAGUUGAACAAUAAAUUUAUUUUUGUCCAAUGCAAUUGUAGUGGCGAUAUACAUAUUUUUAUUUUUAUUAGGUUUUUUUAUAGAUAACUCUAUUAAGGAAGUUUACUUUCUGACAAUUGAAAACUACAACAAAUUCAUUUGGUCUAUUGUUUAAAGUUGUUGCUGUACAAGCCCAUUUUGCCCGGGCCCAUACCAACAAAACAGAUACACUAGGCCCAACUAAUCCAAACAAACCCAAAAUUUUCAACCUAGCCCAAAAUAAAAAAAAAAGAGACCAAUGGCCCAAACGGCCCAAAACAUAAACAAAUUUCAGCAAAAAGAAAACCCUAGGGUUUCCCUGCCUCUCCAGCGCCGCGCCACCUGCUACCAUGUGCGUCUGACGCCUCCUGCCACCGCCGUACGGUCACCUACAAACACGCAAGAAGAAAAGCAGAAGCAAACAAGACUAGACAGAAAAAAAUUUAGCUUUCUCUGGCUAUAAAGCCGAAUAUUGUAAAAUGAAUAAGGGGAUUUUCUUUGAUUUUUCUUUUUCCUUUUCGGCAAGAGCCGAGUUUACUGUAAAAGAAGAAGAGUUUUCUCUUCUUUCAUUUGGCUAUGAACAUUAAGGAAAAUAAAAAAACCAAAAUAGAUUUUUGAAGGUGACUUUUUCUUUUUUUUUCAUAUUUGCGUUUCUGCUUGUUUAUUUUAUUUUAUUUUAUUUAUUUUAUCUUUUACAUAAAAAAAUGAGAAAAAGGGAGAAAGGGGCUUACAGAGGACGAACGUGGCUGCGCCAUCGGAGGGUUUCUCCUCCGUCGCCGAUUCGGAUCCAAAAGGGGCUGAGAGUUCCCCUCUUUUCUUUGUUGUUUUCGUGGGUUGAGAGAUCUGGGAUCUCAAGGACACCGUGCGAAAGGGGCAUACAGGCCAUUUCGCGACACCGGCCACCGUGUACGGUGGCACUAAGGCAGAGACCAUGGCCGGAGUUGGGGUUUGAGAGAGAAAGAGCCCAAAGCUCUCUGAAAUUUUUUUUUUUAAUGGGAGAUGAAUCUGUUUUUUUUAGGUUUUUUUUACAUUUAUAUCAAAUGAAAAACGGCGCCGUUUUAGCCCCCAUGACCCGCGCGUGACCCGACCCGCUCCAGGGGGGAUCCGCGCGUUUUUAUAAGAUGGUCUAUUUGCGCAAUAAAUCCCUCCGCCUUUGCAGUGUAUUCACUUUGGUUCCUUUAUUAUUUUCAAUUUCGGCCAUGAAUUUUCGCGUCUGUUUCAAUGUGGUCCAUAGAUCAUGUGCAGGAAUUAGGCUGGAACGGCGUCGUUUGGUCAACGUAGGGAUAUUUCCCCCUUGGUCCCUUCCUUUUGACGCGCAUUUUACUUCAGUCCUUUUCGCUUUUUCUUUAUUUCCGAAUUUACCCGAUAUCUUCGUUUUUAUUUCAAUUUAGUCUGUUUUUAGCUGUUUUAUUGUUUAAUUAAUUAUUUUAAUAAUGUUAUUAUUAUUACUAUUUAUUAUUAUUAUUAUCAAUUUUGUUUCCCUUUUAUUUAUUCAUUACUAUUGGUAAUAUAUUAAUUACCUUUUUUAUUUUAGCUUUAUAUAUAUAUAGAUAUUUACAUUGUAAUAGCCCGAUUUUAGGCCUAGUCGGAAUAGUGGUUUCGGGACCACAAAUCCGACGAGAAAAAAAAAUGUAAUGGCCUGAAUUUUCAGAGGUGUCGGAACAGUGAUUCGAGAUCACUAAAUUCGACAAAUGGGUAGAAAAUAUUAUUAAUUUAGUAAGUAUAAGUUAAAUGUGAAGUUAGGAAAAUUUUUGAAAUAGUGAAUAGUACACUAGAAAUAAAUAUUAAAAUAAUUAGAAUCGAAAUGAGGUAUCAAGACCUCGGGGAUUUUAAACCGAGCCAUAAAUAUUUUUAUAAAUAUUUAUGGAGUGUUAAAAAGUUAGUAUUAAAGUUUCGUUAAGAAAUUUUAAAGUUCCGAUAAUUAAUUGAGCAAAAAGGACUAAAUUGUAACAAAUGCAAAAUUUUGGGAAAUGAUUAAAUAGUUUAAAUGAUAAAAGGAAGAGGGCUUAAAAGGCAAAUAGACCCAAGGUCUAUUUGGGCUGGACGGCAAAGGCAUGAAAUCAACAAGAAAGUGAGAAGAAUUAAGGGCAAAAUUGGAAUAUUGCAAAAUUUGCUUAAUAAAGUUAGGACCAAAGAGGAAUUAUCUAGAUUUCUCUUCAUUUUUCUGAAUUCUCAUCAGCUAAAACACCAUGGAAGGGCUUCUUCAAGCUGGUUCUUCAUAUUUUUAUUACAAGUAAGUUCAAUUCUUGACUAUUAAAUGAAAUUUUAUAACUCGGUUAAAUACGUUUACAAGUGCAUGUGUUUUGGUAAUGCCUCGUACCCUAUUCCGGUAUUGAAUACGGGUAAGGGGUGUUACAUUUAGUGGUAUCAGAGCUACGGUUUAGUCGGUUCUCGGACCAAACGUAGCAUAUGUGAGCCUAGCUAUAGAUGCCACGUUAUUACUCUUGAUGAUGUGAUAUCUCCGGGCUCUAACAAAAUUGCUUUGUUGAGACAGUGAUGAUUUUCAAUCGAGCUAUUUUCGAUAAUGCUGAAAAUGAUAUUGAGAUAAAUGAAAUAUGCUCACGUUAUGUUGGAAUUUGGAAAGGUAAGUAUAAAAAUUUGUGAUAUGGAUGUGUUCAUGUAUGAAAAGAGAUGACCAUAAGUUAAAAAAAAAAGUUUAUGUUGUGAUAAGCUCAUCCAAGUAUGUUGGUGAUUAUAUAAUGCUAUGUGCUCAACAUAUUUGAUUAAGUGAAUAUGAUAAGCAAAUUUACUUAAAUAGAUGGAACGUGUGUAUGUACAUCUGCUUGAAUAAGUGAAAUCAGUAUGUUCAUAUGAUAGAAUCUUAUGUUUAAUUGUUAAAUUAAAGAUAAUAAGAUAUUUUGUUUUAUGUCUUUAACCAUGAAUAUUAUAAUAGUAUGAAAAAAAUUGAAUUGGAAGUCAAAUUGAGUAGAACGCAGGAAUGAGUACUUUCGUUCAGUGAUAUGUGAUGAAUUGACUGAAAAGACCAUGGUUUGACCAUGGCAACAUGUGAACAUGUGAUUAUGCGAUUCCGUAUAAGACCAUAGCUGGGCUAUGGCAUCGGUAAGUGAUAUGUGAUUUCGUGUAAGACCAUAGCUGGGCUAUGGCAUCGGUAUGUGAUUUGUGAUUACGUGUAAGACCAUAGUUGGACUAUGGCAUCGAGAAAACGAAGUACUCAAUUCCGUAAGACGUUCUCUAAUUUGACAAAUGUCGGUAAGUAAAAUAGAAGCCAAGUAUUGGAAUUUAAUUAGAUAUUAAUAUUGAGCUCGAGUAAGUAAAUUCGUUGUGUGAAAUUGUGAGUGACAGAAAACAUUUGUAAUAAAUAGAUGUGUUAACUUGCUUGGAAUGAAUUACGUGGUUAUGAUGGUAUUACAUUGAUGAUGAAUACAAAAUCAUAUAUAUAUAUAUGUAUCUAUGAGAGCAAGUUGAAAGAUUUAUGACUUCACCAUCACCCCCUUAUCAGUAUUGUUCUAUGACGAAAAUUAUCUUGAUGAGACAGAAAUGUUUUUCAACUGAGUUAAUUCUAAUAGUAUAAAAAUAAACACUAAAAUGUUUGAGUGAAAAUGUAUUGAUUGUGAGUUGAAACUCAUAAAGGUAUGGAUCAAAGAAUAAAACAUUUUUUUUAUUGAUAAAUGUUAUAAUUAUACAAGCAUAUGAGUUAUGAUAUUUGGAUUAUGAUGCUAUAUAGAAAUUUUGAUUGUGAAUUAGUGAUUUGAGUUAGAAUUUUGUGUUGAGAACAAAAGUGAUUAAAAACAAAUGUUUAUUAAAUGCUUUGAGAAUGUGAACUUAGUAAUGAAUUAGCUAUUUGUGAUGGUAUGUGUUAUGCACAUUUAUGUGUAAGAUAAAUUUGAGGCUUUACUACACUCACCCCCCAUAUUAGUAAAAUGUUACAAUGAAAUUUUGAGAUUUUGGUUGAAUAAGCUUACGAGUGUAGUGUUACAGAAGUUCGUGUACGGGAGAUUAAUAAUGUGGUCGGAAAAGUGAAUGAAUUAGCAAAUGAGGACAAUAUAAAAAGAGAGAAAUAUUUGAUAGUUCUGAAAACUACUCAGAUUAUCAAAAUGGAUAUCAUUCUAUAUGGAUUGUAAUUUUUUGAUACUUUGUGUAGCUUCAGAUGCUGAAAUAUUGCUAUCCUGAUUUACUUAUGAAUCUAUGUGAUUAUCUGUAAAAGAUAUGAAAAUCCAAAAUCAUGUGUGAAUUUGAAAUGUACUGUGUGGAAGUAAAUCAUUAACCUACCAUCUGGUAAGAUUUUCGGGGACGAAAAUCCCUAAAGGGGGGGAGAGUUGUAAUAGCCCGAUUUUAGGCCUAGUCGGAACAGUGGUUUCGGGACCACAAAUCCGACGAGAAAAAAAAAUGUAAUGGCCUGAAUUUUCAGAGGUGUUGGAACGGUGAUUCGAGAUCACUAAAUUUGACAAAUGGGUAGAAAAUAUUAUUAAUUUAGUAAGUAUAAGUUAAAUGUGAAGUUAGGAAAAUUUUUGAAAUAGUGAAUAGUGCACUAGAAAUAAAUAUUAAAAUAAUUAGAAUCGAAAUGAGGUAUCAAGACCUCGGGGAUUUUAAACCGAGCCAUAAAUAUUUAUAAAAAUAUUUAUGGAGUGUUAAAAAAGUUAGUAUUAAAGUUUCGUUAAGAAAUUUUAAAGUUCCGAUAAUUAAUUGAGCAAAAAGGACUAAAUUGUAACAAAUGCAAAAUUUUGGGAAAUGAUUAAAUAGUUUAAAUGAUAAAAGGAAGAGGGCUUAAAAGGCANNNNNNNNNNNNNNNNNNNNNNNNNNNNNNNNNNNNNNNNNNNNNNNNNNNNNNNNNNNNNNNNNNNNNNNNNNNNNNNNNNNNNNNNNNNNNNNNNNNNUGAAAUCAACAAGAAAGUGAGAAGAAUUAAGGGCAAAAUUGGAAUAUUGCAAAAUUUGCUUAAUAAAGUUAGGACCAAAGAGGAAUUAUCUAGAUUUCUCUUCAUUUUUCUGAAUUCUCAUCAGCUAAAACACCAUGGAAGGGCUUCUUCAAGCUGGUUCUUCAUAUUUUUAUUACAAGUAAGUUCAAUUCUUGACUAUUUCUUGAAAUUUUUGUAUUUUUAUGACUUUUACAACUAGGCCCACUUGUUAAAUUUAUUAGUUUUUGAUUUUAUGAAAGAAGUUGAAAGUUGAUAUGAAUAUGUGCUGGAAUUAUAUGAUGAUUUAUCAUGAAAUUAGAGCUUUAAAUUGUUCAUAUGCUGAUUUUAUUGAAAGAAUUGAAUAGAAAGUGAAUGUUUGGGACCUAAUAGUAAAAGAGUUUGAAGAUAGAGUUAUAUGUGGAAAUUCUGGAUUUCAAUAGUUGAGUAACAACUUAUAAUGUCUAGGUAAAGUAUUAAUUGAGAAAAUCAGAUUAAUUGAGGGGUUAAUUGAGAAAGGACCGAAUUGUAUAAACUGUGAAAUUUGGGGCAAAAUGGAAAUCAACAUUUUGCACUAAAGCAGUUUUAGACAGCAGCAGUAGUGUAACUUUGAAAAAUCACCAAAAAUUUUAUAGAUUGAAUUAGAGGAUGAAUAAAAUAUGAAACUAAAGCUUAUUGAGUCUAGUUUCUUAUAAAAGAAAUGGUGUGAGCAAUGGAAUUGUAAAUCAUAAGAUAUAAUAGAUUUUGUGAGACAAUGUCAGAAUGAAUUCGGGUUCCCCUGUUCUGACUUUGUAAAAUCAUUAAAAAUCGUAAAAAAAUUAUUAUGAGUUAUAAUUUAUAUGGUUAGAAUCCUUAAUGAGUCUAUUUUUAUAAGAAACAAACUAAAACAUCAUCCAAAUUCUGUACAAUGAGAUAAUUAAUUUUUAGUGAAGAGUGGUCGGAACUGUCAGACAGCAAAACAGGGGAAACUUUAAAGAAUAAACUGUACUAUUUGGCUGAACCAAAAAUUCUUAAAAUUUUAUUAUAUGAAGAUAUGUGAGUCUAGUUUCAGGAAAAAUUAACGGAUCUUAAUUUGGAGCUCUGUAUCUCCGGAUAAAAAUAAUUUAGUGACUCUGACUCGGAUAAACAGUUUUGAAUAUACAUGUGAGUGAAUAGUGAAAUUAUAGCUAAUGUUGUUUAAGUGUGUUAUACACAUUAAGGAUGUGGAAUGGAGAGGAGGAGGAGGAAAAUUGGGAAAUAUAUGAAUGAUUUGUGUAUAAUUGGUCAUAUGCUUGAUUUUAAUUGAUAAACGAUGAAAUAUGAAUUAUACUUAUAUUUGUGCAUUAUUGGUCAUGGUUUAAACUCAUGUGUGAAAAUAAAGUUUAAUAGUCUGUGUGUAUGGUAUAUUCAAUAUAUGAUGUGGCAUGAAAUAAUGUCAUAAAUGGUUUAUGAAUUAACACAUGUUGGUAAGCCUGAUAUAUGAAUAAAUGAUCAAAUUGAGCGGAACGCCGGAUUUGAGUACUUCUGAUCAAGUGAUAAAGUGAUAAGUGGUAGCAUUAGCUACACUUAUCUGAUCAAGUGAGAAAGUGAUAAGUGGUAGCAUUAGCUACACUUAUCUGAUCAAGUGAGAAAGUGAUAAGUGGUAGCAUUAGCUACACUUAUCUGAUCAAGUGAAAAAGUGAUAAGUGCUACACUUAUCUGAUCAAGAGACAAAGUGAUAAGUGGUAGCUUUAGCUACACUUAUCUGAUCAAGUGAAAAAGUGAUAAGUGCUAUACUUAUCUGAUCAAGUGACAAAGUGAUAAGUGGUAGCCUUAGCUACUCUUAUCUGAUCAAGUGAGAAAGUGAUAAGUGGUAGCCUUAGCUACCCUUAUCUGAUAAAGUGACAAAGUGAUAAGUGGUAGCCUAGCUACACUUAUCUGAUCAGGGACAAGUGAUAAGUGAUCAUAUGUAAGACCAUAGUUAUACUAUGGCAAAGUGAAAGUGAAGUACUCAAUUUUCCGUAACCGUUCCCUAAUUUGAUUAAGGAUGGUAAGUGACAAAUGGGCCCAAAAGAAUUAAAGUAAAUGGAUAAGUGGUAGUGUAUUUAUAUCAAGACGAUGUUGUUAUUCAAGCUAAAAUGAUAUUUUCGUUGCAAAAUUGAGAAUUUCAUAAAUGUGUUAUUGAAUGGUAUAAUCAAUAAACAUUGAGUUAAAUGGUAAAUACGUAUUAGUGUUGAACUUGAUGUCAUUGAAUUGUACGUGAAUUAAAUGGAAAUUGCUAGUGCUAUGAUCUAAAUCGUGAGCAUGAGAAAUUGCGAAUUGAGGGAAAUGGAAAUGAAGCAUUGAAUUGCAUGAGUAUGUAUCGGGUCUCGUAAGCCCUAAUUAUUAUGAUUAUAACAUUUUGAGGAUAUACUGUGAAAAGUUAUAGAAGCAUGUUAAUUAUUUUGAAAGUUUUAAUUUAAAUGAAAUUUUAUAACUCGGUUAAAUACGUUUACAAGUGCAUGUGUUUUGGUAAUGCCUCGUACCCUAUUCCGGUAUUGAAUACGGGUAAGGGGUGUUACAUACAUACUCUUAUACUUUAUAAACUUAAAGUACAUAUACAUAUGUUUUUUUUAAAUUCAUUUAUAUAUGUACGUACCUAUAUAUAUUUGCAUUAUUAUUUUAUAAUAUCUACGCACACUCACAUAUUUUUAUAAUUCAUUUAUAUAUGUACAUACACAUAUUUAUACAUAUUCGUUAUAUUUUAAAAUCUAUUUCUUUUUAUGUAUUUUCUAUAUUUUAUAAUUCAUACACAUAUUUUUAAUGCACAUAUCAAUAUACGUUUAAUUUUUACAAAUACACAUAUGUCUUUUUACUUUUUUAUAAUCUUAUUCAUUUAUUUAUUUAUUUCAUUUUCGUUAUUAAUUUGAAUGAAUGUUUUAAUUUUAUUUGCUCAUAUACAUUGCUAUUUCGUAUAAUAUUGAUUUGUGCUUUUUAUUUAUCUUAUUUUUGUUGCAAUUGUUCGUAUUAUUUUUGCACUAUUGUAUUCAAUAUUGUCUUGUUACGAGUAUUAACAUCGUGUUUUAUUAUUUCAUGUUAGAUUAAUUUAUUUCAACGCAUAAAUUACGAUUUUUGAAUAAGUAAAAUCUCGUGUUUAGAUUUGAGAAUGUCGUACCCUAACUUACUGGGUCUCGAUUUUCACAAUAAAUUUAAAAACACGAAUCUUUUCAAACUCAGGUUUUAAACGAUAUCGGGAAUUAAAAAGGAUCGUGUCCUAACUUACUGGUCGUGAUCCCUUUUUAAUCCAAGAUAGUUAAAUAUCUUUUAAAUAAGCAUUUUUAUUCGCGUUUCGGGAAUUCCAGACAUUGUGUCCUAACUUACUGGAUAUGAUUCUUUUUUCUCGAUUAACGUAAAAUAUGCUACUUUUCCCAAAAAUUUUUAUUUUAAUACAAGGAUCGUAUUUUUAAAUUUCUUUAAAAUUUUCAGUUUUUCAACACUAAGACAUUAAGUAAUCAACUAGGUACCAAUUUUGGGCGUAUCGAGGGUGCUAAUCCUUCCUCGUGCGUAACAGACUCCCGAACCUAUUUUUCUGAAUUUCGUGGACCAAACUUGUUGUUUUAAUUAAACCGUUUAUUAAAAACAACCGCUUUUACGAGGUGACCCAAUCACACCUCAUCGAAAAGGAUUGGUGGCGACUCCCUUUUUUUCGUUUUCGUCAAAACCCAAGUCGACCCCUUUUUCCAUCCAAAAAAUGGUGUCAACAGCUUGGCGACUCCACUGGGGACAAAAAAAUAAGAGAGUCGAGCCAUGUGUUGAUUACAUUGUCUUUUUGUCAAAGAUUGAAAACUUGACACGAUCCUUGUGUUGCAUUUCAUUCGUAUUUAUUUCAGUCUUUAUCAUUUUGUUUAUAAUUACUGCAUUUAGAUGUAUAUUUCUGCACAUUGCAUUGCAUGACCGUUGGUCACACCCUUUUAAGUGGGAGUGAGAAACUACGCCUUCGUGAGGUUUUCACCUUCGCAUGGGAUAGUGAAUCGCUUUCGGGAUACAUCCGUACCUAUGUCUUCGUGAGAUUUUCAUCUCCGCAUGGCCAUAGGGAAAUGUAUUCCCCUGAACCGAACUCAGUCCGUAUGAGCCUAUAAUGGGUGAUGAUCGAGGAAUCUGCUGGUUCAGGUACCCUUACUUUAGAAUCGAACCGCAUAUAUGAGCCUUAAGAGCCUACCCUAGGUAGAACCACACUGAAUGCCUAGAGGUCACCCGAAAGCUUGGUUCAAAUCUACGAUCAUUUUGUUGUAUGUUUGUCCGUUUUUGUUACGAUUAUCAUUACUUCGGUUUGUAAUUGCUCUAUUGGUUUGAAUUUUGAUAUAUUUCUGCAUAUUGCAUUACAUAAUCGCUCGAUUAUCCCCUUUUAAGUGGGAGUGAGAAACUAGUCCUUCGUGAGGUUUUCACCUCCGUGCAGGAUAGUGGAUCGCUUCCGGAAUACAUCUGUACCUAUGUCUUCGUGAGAUUUUCGUCUCCGUGCAGCCAUAGGGAAAUGUAUUCCCCUGAACUGAACUCGGUCUGUAUGAGCCUAUAAUGGGUGAAGAUCGAGGAAUCUGCUGGUUCGGGUACAUUGACUUUAGACUCAACCCUCAUAUAGUAGACUUAGGAACUUAACCUAGGUAGAGCCACUCCAAACCCCUAGUAUCUACCUGAUUAGGUACUUUUUUGUUUUCUGUGUUUGCUUAUGUUUUGUACUAACCCCUCUUGUUGUGUUUUGAUUAUCAUUGCACUAUGACCCUUAAACUUUUUGAAAUUUCACUUUAACCCCUCAACUUUUUAAAAUUACAUUUUGACCCCAAAAUUUUCUCAAAAUUACACUUUGGCCCCAGAAGUUUUGCUGUGUUUGCAAUUUGGUCUGUCUGGCAUCCACAGUGCAAGUUGCGCACCUAUACUGCGACAGCCGACCUAAAGCAUGGCCUCUCUCUCCCCUAGCCACUUGCUACCUGCAAAAAAGGAAGAGAAAUCAACAAUUUAAAAGGGUUUUCAAACCCCCAAUUUGGGCAGCGAAGAAAGGAAGAAAAAAGAAAAAAACAACAAAAUUUUUGAGAGAAAAAUCAAGCAAAAAUAGCAGCCUCAUCGCCACCGUGCGUCGUCGAACCGCCACCACCGUCAUACUCCCAUCUACCACCACCAAAGAAAGCAAAUCAAGCAAAAAAAAUCAUCAAAAAAAAUACCCACGAAAAAAAAAGCAAGCAAAGAAGAAAAAAAGAAGAAAAGGGAGGAGCGUCGUCGGCCGUCGCACCACAAGCGGAAGAAGCGUGGGCAGCAGUAGAGAAGUCGGUGGGGGGGCUGAACGAAGAAGAAAGGAAAAAGAAGAAGAAAAAAAAGAAAGAAAAAAGAAGAAGAAGAAAGAAAAAGAGAAAGAAAGAAGGAAGAAGAAGAAGAAGAAGAAGAAGAAAGAAAAAGAAAAAAGAAAGAGAAAAAAGGAAAAAGGAAAAAAAUAUUUUAUAUUACACUCGGGUCAACCCGACCCGACUGGCGUGACCCGACAACCCGAAGACUCGACCCGACCCGCGAUCCGACCCAGAUCUGAACCCAGCAACCCCCCCCAAAAAGGGGAAAACAGGCCUAAAAAAAGUAGCCCAGAAAAAAAAAAGAAGAGCAGGCCAGCAGCAGCCCCAGGCCCAGACCAGUGCAGCCCAACAGUAGUGAAGCAGGCCCAAUUGCGGCAGCCCAGUACCAGCAGUAGCCCAGCAAGCAGCUAGCAAGCCAGCCCAGCAAAAAAAGAAGAAAAAAGGAAAAAUAAAAAAAGCCCAAACAGCCCAUAACUUUGGGUUUUGGUAAAUUCUUGAACUUUUAAUUUUAUCUAAAUAUUUAAAUGCUGUCCCGGUUUUAAUAUUAUUGCAUAUUUUUAAGUAUUUUUUAUUUUAUAUUUAUGUUUUUUUAAUUUUAUUUUAUUUUAUUCGUUAAAUUCGAACAAUUUUGACGCAUGAGGCCACGAACCGAUUUAGCAUUAAGUCAUUGAUUUCAUCGCUACGUUGGGUGAAUAUCGAUGGCUCGUGUUAAAUACGGGACGCCCUUUUUAAGAUUGAAGGAAAAAAAUCAAAAAUAUUAAAAAAUCCUCGUGUUUAAAAAAAAUUUGUGUUUUAAUAGGAUCACGAUUAAAUAUUAAAUUCAAUCGGUUUGACACUAAUUCGUCGAUUUCAUCGCCAUGUUGGGGUGAACAUCAUCGAUUCGUAUUAAAUACGGCACGUUUUUAAAGAAAGAAAAAUUUUGUGUUUCAAAUUUUCGUGUUUUCAAAAAUUACUCGUAUCUCAAAAAUUUUUGACUUUUCGCAUUUUCAAAAGUCUUCGUGUUUCAAAAAAAAUUUCGCGUUUUUAAAAAAAAAUCUCUCGUAUUUCAAAAAUUGUCGCGUUUUAAAAAAAUUUCUUGUUUUCAAUAAUUCUCUUGUUUCACAAAUUUUCGUGUUUUAAAAAUUUUCGUGUUUUCAAAAAAUUUACCCUGUUUUCAAAAAUUCUCGUGUUAAAAAAUUUCGUGUUUUAAAAAAAAAUCGUGUUUUCAAAAAAGUUAUUGUGUUUCAAAAUUCUCGUGUUUUCAAAAAAAAAAUCUCGAGUUUCAAUCGGAUCAUGAUUAAAUAUUAAAUUGAAAUUGUAUUUUUGAAAAUUAAGACAACGCGCGUUUAACGAGAUACCAAUUUUGGGCGUCGCGAGGGUGCUAAUACCUUCCUCGCGCGUAACUGACUCCCGAACUCUAAUUUUCUCUAGAUUUUCACGUAGACCUAAAAUCACCUCUUUUUUAGAAAAAAAUUAAAAAUAAAUUUUUUUCUUUUUUCUUCUGAAAAGAGAAUUUAUUAGGUGUCUGAUCACACCUAAAAAAGAUCAGUGGCGACUCCUUUUUCAAAUAAAAUCGAGAUUCUGUUUUCAAAAUUGCAAUAAUUACUUCGAGUAGCGCCCGUACCGAAAUUUUUAGGUCGCUACAUUUAUGACUUGUGUGUCAUGCAUAUGGAAUAAGUGUGGAAAGUAAAGAAAUGCAAAUGAAAAUAAAGAAAUUUGGAAGAGUUAAAGUUAUAUAAAAUCCUACUAAGCUUGGGAUAAUAUGUAUAAGUGAUGCUGUGGAUUUAUUCACCUUGUGAGUUGAUGAAUAUAGUUUCAUGAGUAUUGUGGUAUCAAUAUUGGAUUAUUCUUGAUAUGUACAGAUUUCAUAUUUGAAAUGAAUUAAUAUGAUUAAAGAUUACACGAGCUUACUAAGCAUUCAUUGCUUACAUAUUUGUUUUUAUUUACCCUACAAAUUAUCGGAAGCUCGAACGGGUUGGAAGCUUGUCGGAGUUAUAUCACACUAUAAAUUGAUUCUAUCGGUAAUUUUAGAUGAUUUGAUUCUAGUUAUAUAAUUACAUGUAUAAGUUAAUUUGGCCAAUGUUGGCUUAUUAAUGUUUUGUUAUAUCUAGCCAUAGGGAUGGCUAGUGAUGAACAUGUUUUGAUGUGCAUAUGAGAGGCUAUAUCAUGUUAGAUGUGAGUGUUUGGUAUGCUUGAAUGAUGAUAAUCUUAUAGGUAUGUUAAUACUUAGUACAAGUAUGCAUAUAUGUGAAUUUGGUCAAUUUGAUAAGUUUGAAUACUAGAGGAUUUGUGAUGAUCAUAUAUGUAUAAAACUUGGUUUUAGCUUGAUUUGAAUACUAUAUGAUGUGAAAUAUCCGUUUAUUUGAUCUGUAGAUUCCGAUAAUGCUUCGUAACUCUGUUCCGGCGACGAAUACGGGUUAGGGGUGUUACAGUUUUGACAGUAAAAUUUUAAUGAGACACAUUAUCUAUCAAUAGACAUCCAAGGGAAGUGUUAUAAAUAUUUUAUUAUUAAGUGGAUGUUUACUACGAUCAAGAUAAGUUUGAUAUACAUUAGGACUCUAAUGUUUAUAAGAAGUAGAGUUUUAUAUUAUUUAUAUUUCUUAUGUCUAUAAAUAUAAAAUUUGGAGAAAAUUUGGAGAUGCAUUACAAAUAUCAUUAUUGAUUCAUAAAAAUAAAUUAUUUUUUACUUUUCUAUUAUUUAUUAUUUAUUAUUUAUUUCAUAACAUAUUCAUUAUAGUAAUUUUAAAACAAAUUAAAAUAAUAAAAAAAUAAAAGCGACGUUGAAGUCUUUGUUAUCCAAGCUUAAGUAAUCUAAAACUACAUUACUUAAGUUGAAAAAAACACUUAAUAUUAAACUUAUAUUUAUAAAAAUGUAUUCAAUAAUUGAGUAAUGAUAGAGAGGUCAGUCAUUUAUAAAUAAAUUUUAUUUCGCUUGAAGUUUAAUAUUUAAAUAUUUUAAUUUUAGUUAUCUUAUUUAACAUUUCAUAUAAAAAUAAUGAAAAAAAUCAUAUAUUAAUAUUUAUUUCUUUAUUAAAAUAUGGUUUUUAAAUAAAUUUUUUGGCUAAGUUAGAAUUAAAUUGACUCAUAACACAAAUUUUAAUAAGACGCAUUGCAUUACUAAAAAAAGAUGUGGAUUCAAAUUUAAAUAUUGAAAAAUAAAAAUACAAGUCUUGAAUAUAAACUAUAAAAUAAACAUGCAAAAUUAUAAAAUAAAAUAAAAACAAUACAUAUACUAUGGGCAGUGGCAAAAUCAGAAAUUUUUUUUAUGAGACUGAAAUUAAAUUAUAACUUUUACGACGAUAAAAUUAUAAUUUUACUAUUUUAAUAGACUAUAUCUUUAUAAUUUUUAGAGGAUUAAAUCAAAUUUUUAUAUUUUAAGUGGGUCAAAGUGUAAUUUUAUUUUUAUUGAUUUAAAAUUUCAAAAAUUUAAAUUAAAAAUUUUUUAUUUUAAGAGACGGGUCGCUGUCGGUAAGCAUUGGUUAAAUAAAAUAAAAUAAAAGAAUAAAACGACGUUGCCGUUGGUAUCUCUCAUUCAAUUACCCCACUUCUAAAAUUUACCGUGUGGAAAAAGUCAUUGAUAGUUAUUGUAGUGGACAAUUAAUAAAUACAAAAAAUUAUAAUUUAAAAUAUAACAUUGUUUUAACAGGGAUAUGAAUGAUCAUAUCACUUGACGCACUGAGAUAAAAAUCACGGAUUCAAUAUUUUUUCCCUUCCCACCCAAAUAAAGUAAUAACUAAUAUAUUCUACCCCCAGAAAAUCAGAAAUGUGUUACCAGUACUCUUCAUCCAUCCAGGGUUAAUUAAAUUUGGGGAAGACAUUUAUCAAGAAAGAAAUUGAGUUAUGAAUAAUUUAAAAAAAAAGGAUAAGUACUAUAGAAUAGGCUACGGUGAAGAUGAGUACUAGAGACGUUGGUGGACGACAGCUACGUCAGGGUUACGCUAACCUAACUCAUAGACACAGCUUUGAAUCUUCAAACAAGCUUUCCUAUAAAAUUGUAACCAAUAUUUAGAUCUUCCCCAAUAUCUUAUUCUAGUAAUAGCCGAGAGAAAAAAAGAAGCAAACGUCAUGGGUUUGAGUUUUAUAUUUAAGAAGCUUGCUCUGGUUGCAGUUACGUUGACACUUACAGCAACUUCAGUGGCAGCUCAAACACAACCAGGUUGUGAAAGCCGCUGCGGGAAUAUCAGCAUUCCUUAUCCCUUCGGUACAGGCGAUGGUUGCAAAAUUAGCAGCGACUUUUUCAUUACUUGUAACACCACUUUCAAUCCUCCAAAAGCAUUCUUAGACACCAGUAAUAUUGAGAUUCUCGACAUCUCUCUGGAUGGUUAUUUGCGCAUAAGUCAAUCCAUAGGUUAUGACUGUUACAACAAAGUCGAGCCUUCAUAUUUUGCUACGUGGAUGUGGUUUUCAAAAUUCUCCUUAUCUCAUACCAGAAAUAAGUUCACAGCCAUUGGUUGUGAUACUUAUGCUUACGUAAAGGAUUAUUUGGGACAUACGUAUUCAACCGGAUGUUUAACGUUUUGUGAUAAUAUUACCAAUGUGGUGGAGGGAUCUUGCUCUGGCAUCGGCUGCUGCCAGACUGCUAUCCCUAAAGGAGUGAGGAGUUAUCAUGUAACGUUUGGUAGUUCUAACAACCAUUCCAAGGAUUGAGCAAUACAUUUUUACAAGGAUGUCCUAGUCUAGAGUGCCACACACUCAGAGGAACAGACGUUUUAGUUGUAAAAUAGUGUGCUGUGCGCAUAGGUUGAGAAUUUCUGAAAGCAUCGGUCAAAUGGAGCUUGUACAGGCCAUGGUGUACUGAUCCUCUAAGAAAUACCUCCUUGGUCCUUAAGUCACGUACCUCGCACUGUGUCGGGAGAAAUUCAAACAUCACCUGGUUGUCUCUUGUGAACUUAGACACAGAUAACAAAUUUUUAGUAAUGCCAAGAGUAUAUAAAAGUGAUUUCAUGUAAAGUGGUCGUGUCCUAGUGAGCAAAUAGGACUGACCAAAACAUAGAACAGGAGAGAGCUACAAUUUCCAACAUACACCUUACUUGGCCCAUUGCGAGAUGGAUUAUCACCAAGAGAGGUAGCAGAGUGAGUGAGAUGAUGCGUUGCCCCAGAGUCAGGAUACCAUGCAGGGCUGCCCACAAUGUCAGGUGUAGCAAUUAACACAUGUGGUGGAGAAACAGUAGUAGAGGAAGGUGAAACCUGUUGUGUGUAGUCACUCAUAUAUGGAUGGGCCCAGUUAGACGUAGGCGCUGACUGAUAGGACCAGUUGGAAGGAGGUUGAACUACCAGGUGGUAUAACUGACACAGCAGAUGGUGUUUAGGGAGAAGGACUAGGUGCAUACAUGCACAUAUUUGCUUGCGAAGAAGGCCUGUAGUUGGUACUUUUGUAAGAUGCAUCAAACUGAUGAUAGCAUCGAUCAACCAGAUGUCCAGUUUUUCCAUAUAACUGGCAUUGAAUACAGGCUCCAGACGAGCGACCACGCACGACCCCGAGAAUUUGAUGCACAAUAAGGUGGUACAAAAGUAUUAGUAACUGACUGCGCAGGUUGUUGAGAAACUAAAUUGGCAGAACUAGGAGUCUCAGCCAGUAUAACCUGUUGUCUAGCUUCAGCAUCAAUUAGCAUAGUUGUGACAUUCUGAACAGUGUAUGAAAGAUGACUAGCAAGAAUGAUUGAAACAAUGGACUCAUAUUCGAACGGUAGCCCAUUAAGGAUAGCAGUUAUAUGCUCAUGUGCACUGAUAUCCUCUCCACAGCUAGCAAGAUUAUCACAGUAGGAUUUGAUUUUCAGCAAAAACUCUUUCAUAGACAUAUCACAUUUUCGUUGAGAGUGUAACGCACGACAAUAUAACAUCAGUCGAGAAGUAGUUUUGCUACCAUACAAUGUUACAAUAGAAUUCCAAAUCUGAGCACUGGUGUCAAGCCCAAUGAGAUGAGGAAGAACAUCUUGACUUACAGAGGACAAAAGCCAGGAAGCAAGAGCGCUAUGUUGCUGUUCGAACCUAGUGAACUCAACAUUUUCUUCAAGCACCCCAUCAUCACCUGGAACCAUCGAAGGGGGUGGUACGGUAUGCAAGUCAAGAAAACUUUGCAGUUUGUAAGCUUUAACAGGUAUGCAAGUCAAGAAAACUUUGCAGUUUGUAAGCUUUAACAGCCAACAGAACCUGUUGCCACCAUAAAAGAUAGUUGGAAUCAUCGAGAAAUAUACUCACUUUCUUGGUAGAGAAGAAUCUGCUAUCAAGAACACCACUAGCAAGAUUAGACGCCAUCGUGGGUGCAGCAGACUGAAUAGCAGAAGGACUCGCUGGUGGAUCCAUGCAACAAGCAAAAAAAACCGAAACUUAAAGCAUCAAUCCCAGGAAGAGAGAGACGUCUGAUACCAUGUUGAAAUAUAACCAAAAAUAUUAUAAAACUGAAGAAGUAUAUUAAACUUUAUUAAGUCAUAUUAAUGACCUGAUACAUGCAUUUAUAGCAAUAGUUGAGAACUGUUUCUUUAACAAACUAACUGCUAUCUUAACAGUCAACUAACUAACUUCCAGAUACUCUAACAAUUUGCGCAUAAGUGAAUCCAUAGGUUAUGACUGUUACAACGAAGUCGAGCGUACUUCAUAUUUUGAUAUGUGGAUGGAGCUUUCAAAAUUCCCCAUAUCUCAUACCAGAAAUAAGUUCACAGCCAUUGGUUGUGAUACUUAUGCUCACGUAAAGGAUUAUUUGAGAGAUACGUAUUCAACAAGAUGUUUAACGUUUUGUGAUAAUAUUACCAAUAUGGUGAAGGGAUCUUGCUCUGGCAUCGGCUGCUGCAAGACGGCUAUCCCUAAAGGAGUGAGGAGUUAUCAUGUAACGUUUGAUAGUUCUAACAACCAUUCCAAUAUGUUGAGCUUCAAUCCUUGCAGCUAGGGAUUUGUUAUGGAAGAUGGAGCCUAUAACUUCUGUAUUUCAGAUCUUUACGACGAAAAUUUCAAGGACAAAGAAUUCCCAAUGAUACUUGAUUGGACAAUCGGGAAUCAAACCUGCUCAGAAACUAAAAUGGAUCAAGAAAAUUAUGCUUGCAAGGAAAAUAGCGACUGCAUAGAUCCGGAAAAUUGUCCUGGAUAUUUGUGCAAGUGUCUUGAUGGUUUUCAGGGUAACCCUUAUCUCUCCCAGGGCUGCCAAGGUAAAGUUACAAUCUUCUCCAUUACGAAUUCAAGUUUGGUGAAUUUAUGUUAUAUAUAUAUAUACAUGGUCAGUUAAAUUCGAGCCAAUAUAUUAUACUGUGCCUAAUUUGAUAUUUCAGUUUUACCCAAUGUGUGAGAAAUUUCAGAUAUUAACGAGUGCAAUACGUUGAAGCCUUGCAAUGGAACAUGUAACAAUGCGCCUGGAAGUUAUAAUUGUUCAUGCCCUGAUGGGUUUGAAGGUGACGGCUUGAGAAAUGGAAUAGGCUGUAGCCCUAAAGUAGUCAUGCCCCACCAUCAGAGCUUUUCUGUUGCUGUAGUUGCAUUAGGUUGGUACAUAUAAACGCUACUAUAGUAAAAUAAUGUUUUAAAAUAAUGUAACUAAUAUAUAUUCUGUUAUGAAAACAGGUAUAGGCGUAGGUGUUUUGUUUUCACUCUUGUGCUUGUCAUGGGUUUAUAUGGGGCUUAGGGAAAGAAAGCUCACCGCAGAGAAAUCGGAAAACUGUCAGCAAAAUGGCGGGAUGUUAAUGCGAGAACAGCUUCCAAAACGGGCUGAAAUGCUUACUACCUAAGAGCCCCAGAUUGGAAUCUCUCCAUUUUCCUAGCAACCAUGAUCGGUGCUUCCCGAUUAAAAAAUAAGUUUGAAUCUUCCAAACAUGUUUUCCUAUAAAUUUGAAACCAAUAUUUAUUUACGUGUCCUUUCAAAAAGUUUAUCUUAGGUUUUAUGUAUUGCCAACAAAAUUUAAAGAGCAUGUUCUGUUUGUAGUUUAACAAUUAUAGUGACUUCAUUGUACAAGAAAAUCGAGUAAAAUUCCUUUUUAAGUUCAUGCACUUUGAAAGUUGUAGCCACAACAUUAAGCUUUAAUGUAUUCAAUUUGUGCACGUAAAUCCAUUCUUUUGCGAGUAAUUUGUUCAGGUUUUACCGAUUUAAAAACAUACUUUCAACAUUUAGCAACAAUCUUUUGUAGUUCUUUUAUUCACUUGAUCAGGUCUAGACUAUGAUCAUAAUGAGAAUAUUAUAUGAGAUUUAGCCCAUUUAAAAGCAUCGUAGAUGGAGAGUGCCUUUAAAUAUGACAGGCUUCAAUUUAGCGAGUUUUGAAUUAGCAUGGCCAAUAGGCUUGAAAGGAAAAAAAGAGCUCCUCCACAUCAAGUUAUAUUUUUCUUGAGAAUACCUCCAAUAUUAGCAUGGCCAGGAUUAUCAACAUUAUACAUAAAUAACUCAAAAAGGAGGAAUAAAAGUUAAUUAUCUCUGAGAUUAAUUUCAUGAACUUUGGGCCAUCUUACAUUCUCCAUCUGAUAAGCUGUCAGCAGAAUAUACUCACUGUUUCUGCUAUAACCAUAUUGGGUGAGUGUUAGGCCUGUUGUGCCUCCACCUAUCCAUUAUCCAUAUGUUGAGUAGAGUUAUGGUUGAGGAAAUUUUUAUUUUCUUUGCUCAAUCCAUCAUCUUCUAGCACCCAUUAGAUUCACCUUUUAUUUAUUAUUAAAAUUUUAAAAUAUUUUGAUUUUUAUAAUUAAAUAAUCAAAUCAAUCUUAAAUUUAUUUUAUUUAAACUCAACCAAAAUUAGAUUCAAUUUAUUGAGUUAAACUGAUAACUUGACCUUUUAUGGUCUACUUGAAAUUUCCAUGUAACUAUUCUUUUCAAAAAUUUGACAGCUAAACUAUUAUAACUAUAGUUUUUAUUUUUGUUGGAACGAGUAUUAUGAUAUAGAUUGGUACUUAGAAAUUUAAGAAAUAAAUUUGUCACGUUUCCAAUGGAUGUUAAAAUAAGGAAGAAGAGAGACUUAAAUUGAUAGCUAUGUCGUUUUUGUUACAAGCCACUUCUCUCUCCAAGCCCGGUCGUAUUGUUACAAUUCAAUUGCCUUGAACAAGUCAUUGAUAGCUAUGCUUGUGAUAAACAGUUGGAAUUUGUAGCAUUUUAGAUUUAUUAAAUUAUAAAAAACUAUUUAUUUUAUAAAUAAAUUUAAUAAAUAAAAAUUCAUCAUUUAACAAAUUUAAAAGGGUUAAAGUGUAAAUUUGUCAUGACACGCUAUAGAUGAAUAUUGAAAUUUGUCACUAUACUUUAUUUUUAUUAUUUGACAUUAUGUUUUGAAAAUAUUAGUAAAUUUAUUAUUCAACUCUUAUGUGAUUUAAUUUUACUGAUAAAUUUUAUCAGCGACUAGUCAAUUAAGAGAUAAAUAAUAAUAAUAUUAGUUUGUGAAAAGAAAGCAAUGGAAUUGUUAAAAACCAAUAUAUAUGUGGAGUUUUACUUUUUGUUUUGAGAAUCAAAUCAUAAUACUUGUGAUUAUAAAAAAAAUAAAAAAAAUGGUCAGCAUCUUAAUAAAGAUGGGUACUAUAUAGACAAACGUUGACCGUAUGACUUCAUUAUUCUACUCCUUCGUAUGGGUUACGCUAACUUGGCUUUGAAUUUUCAUACAUGCAAUUCCUAUAAAUUAGUAACCAAACUGUUAAUCCUAGAUACAGCCGAAAGAGAUUAAUAAAAAAAAAAUUACUCAAUUAAGAGAAAUAAUAAAACUAAGAAUUAAAGAUUAUUUUUCAUCAGAGUGACAAUAAAAUUAAGAGCUAGAAUUUUAUUCAAUUAAGGAAACAAUAAAAUUAAGAGAUAAAUACUAUUUUUCAUAGUAUUUGACGAUAUUGGUCAACAUUAUAGGCGUAGUUAGGGGUUGGCAAGAGCCUCGGCAUUCCUUAAAAUAGAAAGUUUUCUAUUUAGUAAAGGUAAAAUUAUACUUUAGCCUCCUAAAAAUGAUAAAAAAUUUGAUUUAAUCUUUUAAAAUUUAUAAAAAUAUAAACCAAAAUUACAUUUUUUACCAUGUAAAAGACCACCUUAAACAAAAAUUCUGAGUCUCUGCACUUGAUUUGACAAUAUUUGGUGCUCUUGAUUAAGGAAAACACAAAUAUCAAAUUGCUUGAUUUUGUAAACUUAGAUUAGAGUAUUAUUCUGUUUUCUCAUCAGAGUACAAAUCACAAACAAAAGCAUUUUUAAUUUCUAACUUAUUAAUUAACGUAAGUUCAAAUCGUUAAUAUCUAAAUUUUAUACUCAAUGUAAAUUUGUAAAAAAUGAAAAAAAAAAGUACUGAGAUGCAAUAAUGCAAUUCAUUAAAAGAAUCUGCAAUGCAAUGCAUUUAAAAAUUUAUUAGAAGAAAAUAAAAAUUGAUAAAGUUUUGCAGUGCCAUGGAAGAGAUAACUCUAAAAUGUAGUAAAUAAUGUUUUUUUAUAAAAAGGAAUGUUUUUGUGUUUUAUUAUUGAAGAAAACUAGGAAAGUUUAAAAAGGUUUGUAUUAAUUUAGUUUGAUGUGAUUGUUAGAACAUUAUGUAUGGUGUCGGUAAAUCUUUCCCUUAAAAUGAAUAAUCAAGAAAAUAAGAAAUGCAACAAAUGAUAAAUAAAAAAGUUAAUAGUGGAUUGAAAUGUUAAAUUUCAGACUAAAAACCGACAAAGAUUUAGGAGUCGAGUCUACUACUCCUGUAAAUAUCCUGGGGAUAUGUAAUAAAACGAAUGACUAAAACGACCAAGACUUGGAGUCAUGUUCAUGUCGAGGGGUUAGCUGUCCUCAACUACACUAUUAAACUUACCCUGUAAAACAUGUUAAUGUAUGCAAAAGCAAUUACUUAUGCACUGUUCAUCCAUGGAAAGAUAAAUUUAAUUUGGAUGGAAGGUUCCUUUACACCUUUGUGAAUGAGUCAACACAAGACUAAGGAAUCAUGGGCUCACUUUAGUAUGUUACAGUGGGUUUGAAUCUUCAUUCAUGCUAUUCCUAUAAAUUACCACCCAAUAGUUAGAUGUUACCCAAAUAAACGUUUUGACUGAAGAAUUAGUCUUUCCAAUGUGGUACUAUAUGUCAGGAAUAAAUGCCAACAGAAAUAUUCUACGCACGCAUUUGCCUCCAAAAACACGCAGAGAAAUGAAGGCCUCCAUGGGAGAUGAAAGACGAGCUUGGCAUCUCGCAUUUGUUUGCCUGUUACUAGCAGCAGUUGCAGCAGCAGAAUCAACUCCAAUAGCCAAGCUCGAUUGCCAAGACAGAUGUGGGAACGUUAGUAUCCCAUAUCCAUUUGGUACAACGACGGAUUGUUAUCUCAAUGAAGAUUUUUACAUAGCUUGUAAUUCGACUCACUAUGAUCCUCCACGGGCAUUCUUAAGAAGAAGCAAUAUAGAGGUGACAAACAUAACUGUCGAAGGCAAAUUGUGGAUUAUGCAAUUUAUAGCCCGCGAUUGCUACAAUAAAUCGGGCUCCCCAGUUUCCAGCAAGACUCCUUCCAUCACGCUGUCCAAAUUCAGGGUCUCGGAUACUGAUAACAAGUUCGUUGCCAUUGGCUGCGAUACUAAAGCAACCAUUCAAGGUGUUCAAGACGACAAGGCCGGAUACACGAGUGGGUGCAUAAGCAAGUGUGACAGUAUUGACUAUGUGGACAAUUUUACAUGUUCUGGUAUAGGCUGUUGCCAGACAUCCAUUGCUAAAGAUGUACGAUAUUUUGACAUUACUGUAAGAAGCUACCAUAAUCACAAAGGUAUCUGGGAUUUCAAUCCCUGCAGCUAUGGCUUUGUUGUUGAAGAAAAUAGCUUCAAUUUUUCUUCGAAUUAUCUUCGUGAUCUGCAAAAUGUAACCAUGAUGCCCAUGGUGCUUGAUUGGUUUAUCGGGAACGAGACGUGUGAAACGAUAAAGACCAAGAGUUCGGAUGAUGUAUGCCAGGGAGAUAGCACUUGUUAUAACGUGGAUAAUGGAUCUGGAUAUCGUUGCAAGUGCUUGGAUGGCUAUCAAGGAGAUCCAUACCUACCUAAUGGUUGCCAAGGUAUUUUAUUUCUUUAUUUCCACAAAUUCAAUUUCCUUUAUAUUUUCAACAGUCUUAGUUAUUUAGAGGUUAUACUAUACAGUAGCUCCUUUUUGGUGAAAUUGUGGUGGGAAUGGGAUCUAUUCUUUUACAGACAUAGAUGAAUGUAAAGACCCAAAUCUCAAUAAAUGUGAAAAGAUAUGUGAAAAUACAAAAGGAAAUUACACGUGCUUGUGCCCCAAGGGUUAUCAUGGAGAUGGAAGAACAGAUGGUACAGGUUGUGUUGCCAAUCAAUCUGGAGGAUCACUUAUAAUUGAGCUUACUGUCGGUAAGGAGUUCUAUUCGAUUUCAGUCUUACAAGUUCUCUGCUAUACUAUUUAAGCGUCCUUUAAUGCUUAUCUUCUGAGUCUCAAAAUGGAUUCUGAUGACUGUUUUAUGACCACCAUGGAAUAACAGGGCUUGGCGUAGGCAUUACAGUAUUGAUAGCAGGUAGCACUUGGUCGUACUGGGCAUUCAAGAAGUGGAAGCUCAUCAAACUUAAACACAAGUUCUUUCGACAAAAUGGAGGCUUGAUGUUGCAGCAAGAACUCUCCAGGCGGGACUCUUCCACUGAAACGGCUAAAAUUUUCUCAGCUGAGGAGCUGGAGACGGCCACCAACAACUAUGAUGAAAGUAGGAUUAUUGGUCGAGGUGGUUAUGGCACAGUCUACAAAGGAACUCUAUCAGAUGGGAGAACCGUAGCAAUUAAGAAGUCCCAAGUUGUUGAUGAAAGCCAAAUCGAUCAAUUCAUCAAUGAAGUUGUUGUGCUUUCACAAAUCAAUCACAGGAAUGUGGUGAAGCUUUUAGGUUGUUGCUUAGAGACGGAAGUUCCAUUGCUGGUUUAUGAAUUUAUCACCAAUGGUACUCUCUUUGAGCAUAUCCACAACAAAAGCAAGGCUUCUUCCUUGACAUUUGAAACCAGGUUACGUAUAGCAGCAGAAACUGCAGGUGUGCUCUCAUAUCUGCAUUCCUCAGCUUCCAUACCAAUCAUUCAUAGGGAUGUCAAGUCUACCAACAUACUCUUGGAUGAUAGUUACACUGCCAAAGUAUCCGAUUUUGGAGCUUCGAGAUUGGUUCCACUAGACCAAGCCGGGAUAUCAACGGUGGUUCAAGGGACUCUCGGAUACCUGGACCCUGAAUACUUGCAGACAAGUCAGCUGACAGAGAAAAGUGAUGUUUAUAGCUUUG
This 34796-nucleotide long non-coding RNA is filed under the name Gossypium raimondii (Peruvian cotton). Its description in RNAcentral is "long non-coding RNA (GRAI_LNC007114)". The record is from RNAcentral. Lineage: Eukaryota; Viridiplantae; Streptophyta; Magnoliopsida; Malvales; Malvaceae.